Molecule: non-coding RNA, 21 nt
Filed under: Caenorhabditis elegans
Lineage: Eukaryota; Metazoa; Nematoda; Chromadorea; Rhabditida; Rhabditidae
Source: RNAcentral
UUUAUUAGUUUGUUUGGACAU